This is a long non-coding RNA of Corvus hawaiiensis (hawaiian crow), 5401 nucleotides long. RefSeq lists it as uncharacterized. Lineage: Eukaryota; Metazoa; Chordata; Aves; Passeriformes; Corvidae. The transcript is spliced from 4 exons. The record is from RefSeq and is a predicted model, not a curated record.
AGCUGGGCGGGCGGCUCCGGAGUCCCGCGGAUGGCUUCGGCUUCGCGCAGCCCCGGCCCUUCCUCGGCGCCCAGGUUCUGUCGGCGAGCUUGGGUGUUUCCGCGGAGAGCUGGGCCCGUGCUCUUGCUGAGCUCUCAGGCCUGGGCAGGCCUUGGGACCGGCCAAGGGCUGCUUGUUGGGCCCUCCUGGGGUCUCCCACUUCUUUUUCUGCCCGAAAAAGAGCAAAAAAACCAACUUUAACAAAUAUUCCGGGAUGCUCAGGGCUUUUACGUGCUCCUCAGCCUCCUCUCCAGCCACGGCACAAAGCAGCUCUGUUUCUCCAUGUUUUUAGCAGUGGCCGGUUCCUGCCAGGGCUUCCAGGGGCCAGAGGUGUCAAUCCUUGUGGAAGUGCUGGGCAUAGGAUGGCCUGGAGGAGCUAUUGGUGUGGAUGACACUGAGAUCACGGAGCACAGCACUGGGAGCACUGCAGAGGGAUGGACUUUGGUGCUUUUGAUUAUGCUGUUGAAUUAAUGAGCCUCAAAUUGGGACAGUUCAUCUCACUGGCCUGGCACACAGAUCAUUGUUGCUCAGGAAGACCACAAGACUCAGAAAAAAAAUAAUGAAAAAACCUGUCUGUGCACAGCAAUUGUCUGAAGCAUUGGGAAACACACAGGGAAAACCUCCUGGAAGAAUAUGGGAGAGCAUCUGUGAGUCCUGCAAGGAGGGUUACAACCUCCCAAGGCCAGUGGUGGAGGCAAGAGCACCCGCGUUUGGCUGAAAUCACGGAGAUAAACACAGUGAAAGAGCCCCGCAGUGGAAUCAAGAGCAGACAAGAGGGGAUUGCGAAAAUCUGUCACUUGAAAAGAGUUGAAGAGAUCUGAAGCUAAUAUGCAGAACCCCGUGCUUGCAGAGAGGUGCCUGGGGUUUGAGGUGGGAAUCCUGCUGUGGGACAUGUCUGAGUCCUUCCCAUGGAGAGUCCCAGAGGAACUCCCUAGGCCUCUGCAUACAACCCCUGUCUCUUAGGAUUCAGGAUGGACCUGCAGACCCCAGAGAGCAUGCUGCAUUGCAGCCAGUUUGGUUCCUACCCACGGAGAGCUGUCUUUGGGACAUCUUUUGGCAAUGACUCACUGUUAAGGAAGAGGCAGCAUGCAAGUCACCUGUUCCACAAAGUGUCCCACUCACAGAGGUCACGUGGCACCGGGCUCCUGUCCCAUGACACAUUCUGGGUGCAAUAACUGCAUGACAUGGCCACCUUUGCCACAAAACGCCUGGAUGCAGAGCUCAUGUGGCUGGUCCACCCCAUCGCACAAUACCCUGUGCAGAGAGGAGCAGUGGCACCAACUCUGGGUCCUGCUGAGUGUCCCAAGCAUUGCCAGCCAUCGGCCUGUCCUGCCUGUCCUCAUGGCUUCAAAGGCACUAAUGGCAUGAGCUGACAGCUCUCAGGCUCUCUAGAUGUUCACUGUGAAGACUUCAGUGCUUGGUAACAGCUCACAGAACUUGCUGCUUUGGUAACACACUCCUCAUGCAAAACCUCGAUCCCUGAACAAAGGCCUGUGCAGUUCUGUGCUGGCUGUUCACCUCUCUCUGUACCUAUUUUUAUGCCAUUCCUACGGUUUAAAAAGCCUUUCAGAAAUGUCUGUGUUUAGAAGGACACGGAUCUGACAAAGUAACUGACUCACUCUGGCCUCAGGGAAGUUACUUCACUCUCUGGAUCAUCUUCUCCACUUGAGUAUGAGAACAAUCAUAUGAAAUUACCUGGCAUACCUUCAACACAGCUGUAAAAAAGUAAUUAGCUGGUAUUUAGGACUGGCUGUAAAAGUGGGAAGGUGCUGGUGGUGGUGGUGUUGGAGAACCUCUGUAGCUGGGGACGCAGGACAGCUGUGAGACCUGCAAGAGGCUCAGGUGAUUGUCACUAUUUGUGUGACAGCUCGUGGGUUUAUGGUUAUAAAUAGUUUGUGGAUGCCUCUCUGGCCCUGAGCACAGUCUGGCACAUGAAAACACCCCUUCCUCUGUGACACUUGACUCUUCCAUGGGCUUUGGUUUCCACCAGUCUAGGCCCAGAUAAAUACAGUAAGCUCAAGGCUGUGUGGUGCCCAGCUUACACCAUGACCAGCAGCAUGGGGUUGUUUCUUCCUGCCUGUCUUGCCAAGGCCAGCAUAGAUACUUGUCCAAGGGUGUCCCCUGUGCUCAGCAUGUUGUCCACAGCCUCUGCAGGAGGUUAACUCAAAGGCAGAGCAGGUGUUUGGACCUUCUCAUCUCAGGGAGUGAGCUGGCAUCUAAGGGAAGAUGCCAGCAUUGCCACCUCCCAGUAUCAAAGAGAUGACAACUCUGCAGUAGUCUUGUGGCUGUUGCUAUUGAACAGAGGGAAGCUGUCAAAAUAGUCCAAAGCCACUUUUUCAUGUGUCUCUUGUGUCUGGUGUGAGGGGACUUGGCACAAUCAGGCUUUGCAGCGCUGGAGGUCGGCCCCACCCUCCCUGUGGGGCUCAGGCUUCCAUGGCUUUAGACCCUGUACUGGUGCUUUGUCUUUAAGAUGUUCAUCCUCCAGCAGAUGCAUUUUCUCAGUGAGCACAGACGUAAUCCCUGCACUGUGUUCAAUGUCCUCUGCACCGCAGAUUGGAGAUCUGCCAUGAGACAACGUGAUUGCAGUUGCUUCCUACAGUUGGUAUCUGGUGAUCGAGUCUUGUCCAGAGCUACCUUUUCAUUUUCAUGUGAUGCUGCUCUAUGACUUGGAAACUAUCAGAGGAUUGCAAAGGUGAAAGCAUUAGUAGAUUACCAGAGCAGUAUUUGUACUGCAGGGAGGGAUUAGGGGACAGGGCAGGCAAAAGACUAGGCCUGUGCUCUUUCAAGUGGAAAUGCAUUGGUGACCAUGCAAUAGCAGAUUUCUAAUGAACAAAAUGCCAGCAGAAGCAAGGGGAAUCUGCUUUAGACAAGAUAAAUCAAAGAAUGACAAAGCUUGGAGUACCAAAGCAACAUUUUGUGUGUUUGCUGCAUUUAAGUUCCCUUUUUUAAUUUUCAUAUGUUGGAUCAUUAUAAUGACAGUUUGAGGAAGCUGGUCUGGAAGGCCAAAGGUGACAAGGGAAAGCAUUGCACAGCCAGCUGAGAGAAGACAGCUACACACAGGGAGCUCUGGACAGUCAGUUUUCACUGAGGCACAGCCACUGUAGGCUGGUGCUACACCUUUCUGGGCACAGAGGCAAAGAAGGGUCCCAGGGACUGCAGGACUCUGAAGAGCAGAAAUGUGCUGGACAAGUACCACGGGAAUAAGGGGACCUCUCUUUUAAUGUCACAGAUGGCCGGGGGUGGGGGUAGCUGUGUGUCCACAGGAGAGGGGGAAUACAUUAAGCACUGUGGGGAAUGUCAGAUGCUCUCAGCUCACAUCAAGGAUCUGUAGGUGCCACAGCUGAGGUGAUGUCCUCCCUGGGCCUCUCUGCAGGUGUUUUUGUACUGCUGUUCACUCCGUCAUCUCACAGAUGAGAAGGGAAAGGGAGAGGCCCUUUUGGUCCAAGGACAAAAGCAAAGAGGUGGGUGAGACAUAUAAUGUUUUAUUGUCUCUAAUUGGAUCAGGAAGAUUAGUAAAUAGAGAUUAGGUGACACAAAAGGAAGAAAAUCAAAGCAGGAGACAUUCUCACUUCCUGGUUUAGAGGAAUGAGUGCAUGAAAUAGGUUGAGGUUUCUGCACCAGUAAAUGUCUAAAGACCUGUUAUUAUAACCUCAGAGAUCCACUUAGCUGUGUGAAGGCCACUCAAGGAUAGAGAAUGGAUUUCUUCAGAGCAGUGUUACUGAUUGGGAACGAUUGGCAUUGGGUUUCAAACUGAUCGGUUUUUAUGGGUUUUCAUUGGGUUUUGACAUUCUACAGUUUCCUUCAGAGGCUGCUAAAACUCAGUGUGCUGAGCUGCUCACUGCAGCACGCUCCGGUGUCCCGCAGGACACGUGUUUAUUUUGAUUUGGGGGGUGGGGCAUGUCAAGAGCCGCAACUCAAUACUUCCAUUUGCCAGCUCGUUACCACCAUUCUUCUACUUUCACUCUGCCUCUGUGAAUGUAGCUCCCAUCCUGGAUAGCAGGGACCUGUCUGCUGCCACUGGUCCUCUGGAGUGCCAGGAUCUGUCUGUUCUUACAGGCAAGCAGGAUGUCGCCUCAUCAGCUUAAGAAAAUGCUGUGUUCCCACAGAGGGUUGGAAAACAGCUGUUGGUCACGUCAAGAGCAAGCGGCACAGGAACUUGAUGUGAAGUUCUGCAUAACAAAAGUCUGUAAUAGGUGGUGCCAGGAUUGCUUUGCAGUACAGGAGGAAAUUUCACUCGCAGAUUUUGUUUGCUUUUCAUAUUGUGUAAAAAGCAAAUAAAAAAAGGGAAACUUUUAAGAGAAGAGAGCUGAGGAACACGCAGUAAUUUGCCAUUAAUGUCUGCCCAUAGCAGCCCAGCAUGUGGGUCUCCUGUUAAAGGCAAUUGGCUGGGACACGCCAGUGCUCUGCUCCACCAGCUGCUGAUGUGCUGAGGGCUUUUCCUCUUUUGUCCAGUUUGCAUUUUAACUGGUACCAGGUUUUUCUGCAGCUCUUUGCAUCCAAUGGGGCACCCUAAAAGCACUAGUAAACUGCUGCUACAAGUUCCUUCUCUGGAGUCUGGAGCAUCUCUCUUACGAGGAGAGACAGUGGGAGCUGGGCCUGUUUAGUCUGAAGAAGAGAAGACUGAGAGGGGAUCUCUAAUCCAUACAAAUAUCUCAAAGAUAGGUGCCAAAAAGAUGGUGCCAGACUCUUCAGUGGUGCCCAGCGACAAGAUGAGGAGCGAAGGCCAUAAACUAAACCACAAGAAGUUCCUCCUCAACAUGAGGGAGAAUUUCUUCAUGUUGAGGGUGGCAGAGCACUGGAACAGCUGCCCAGGGAGGAUAUGGAGUCUCAGCAGACUCUCAAAUCCCACCUGGACGUGUUCCUGUGUCACCUGCUCUGGGUGACCCAGCCUGGAGCUGGGCUGCAUGAUCUCCAGAGAUCCCUUUCAACCCCAGCAGGUCUGUGAUUGUGUGAUUUUCUUUUUAAUGUUGCUGGAAGUAGCCUCGGUCCUUUAUUGUUUUUCAUUAGCUUUAAAAAUACUUUUUUUCUCCCUGGUUGCUUUCCUGAGGUCAUGAGCUAACUAACCCACAGCAGUCACAUGACUUGGAUGACCACAGAAGAAUAUUCAAGAAUGCCGAGUAACAAAAUGAACUUGCUGUCAACAGAGAGUAGAAAAUACGGAUUUCUCUUGUAUCACUAGGAUAAUUGUUACCCCAUGGAAUAUGGUCCAGAGACUUCAAAGGGUCCCAUUUUACUUGCCUGCACUAUUGAUCUUGGUGCUGGCAACUGCCAGGUUAAUCAAUCUGAAUAUAUAUUCAACUGGCAUCUUGUAUCUUCUUUCCUGACAAGUGCUGUUGCUACUACCCCACUUUCGAUUACAGCU